Molecule: long non-coding RNA, 259 nt
Organism: Pristis pectinata (smalltooth sawfish)
Lineage: Eukaryota; Metazoa; Chordata; Chondrichthyes; Rhinopristiformes; Pristidae
Exons: 3
Source: RefSeq, a predicted model, not a curated record
UACCAUUCAAACAAAUGGAGUUGCUGUUUGUCCACAAGCCAUGGCUGGCAUAGAGGGAUAUGUCUGCUCAAUGGAAGCCUUGUUUCUUCUAAAGUUGAUAUAUACCUUUUUGACAUCUUAACAGCCAAAUUUGGUGGUAAAAGUUGGUACUGACUGCUUCUCUGUCCCUGGGUUGGGAUGCUCCUGACAUAACAGAUCCUGUCCCAUGAGAUCUGCUGCUAUACUCUUUAAUGACCUUCUCACCAUCAGUGAAACAAAU